CACCGCCCGUCACGCCAUGGAAGUUGGGAGUGCCCGAAGUCCGUGAGGCAACCGCAAGGAGCCAGCGGCCGAAGGCGAGCCUGAUGACUGGGGCG
Molecule: ribosomal RNA, 95 nt
Filed under: uncultured bacterium
Lineage: Bacteria
Description: partial 16S ribosomal RNA
Rfam family: Bacterial small subunit ribosomal RNA
Source: RNAcentral